UACGUAGGGUCCGAGCGUUGUCCGGAAUUACUGGGCGUAAAGAGCUCGUAGGUGGUUUGUCGCGUUGUUCGUGAAAACUCACAGCUUAACUGUGGGCGUGCGGGCGAUACGGGCAGACUAGAGUACUGCAGGGGAGACUGGAAUUCCUGGUGUAGCGGUGGAAUGCGCAGAUAUCAGGAGGAACACCGGUGGCGAAGGCGGGUCUCUGGGCCGAAAACUGACGC
RNAcentral lists this ribosomal RNA (224 nucleotides) under uncultured bacterium. Its description in RNAcentral is "partial 16S ribosomal RNA". It matches the Rfam family "Bacterial small subunit ribosomal RNA", at positions 524 to 746 of the family's 1533-position model. The record is from RNAcentral.